CAGGAAAUCAGCAGAGCAGGUCUUGCACAGAGUCAAGAGCAAAUGCCUUUCAUAGGCUUUCCCCUGAGAAAAGCAUGCCCCUGGGACUAACUGUUCGUUCAGGGCAGCCUGGGUAAUUGUCUCUCCAGUUCAGCAGCCUAGGUACUCAGAGGCGCUGCAGCCAUGGUCCAAUGGAGCCCUGUUACUGUUCAAACUGGAGGCAGGCUUUGGGUCCAGGAGACGCUGGUUUUUGCAAGCACACAGAAUACAAGAGUUAAAAGAUCAUGGAGCCUUCUACACAGAUUGAAGACAGGGUUUUUCUGUGGCUUUGGAGGCUGUCCUGGAACUAGCUUUUGUAGACUAAGCUGGUCUUGAACUCACAGAGAUCUACCUACCUGCCUCUGCCUCCCGAGUGCUGGGAUUAAAGGUGUUCGCCAC
RNAcentral lists this long non-coding RNA (417 nucleotides) under Cricetulus griseus (Chinese hamster). RNAcentral's name for it is "lncRNA (ENSCGRG00015042189.1)". The record is from RNAcentral. Lineage: Eukaryota; Metazoa; Chordata; Mammalia; Rodentia; Cricetidae.